ACCCGCUGAACUUAAGCAUAUCAAUAAGCGGAGGAAAAGAAACCAACAGGGAUUGCCCUAGUAACGGCGAGUGAAGCGGCAACAGCUCAAAUUUGAAAUCUGGCGUCUUUGGCGUCCGAGUUGUAAUUUGCAGAGGGCGCUUUGGCAUUGGCAGCGGUCCAAGUUCCUUGGAACAGGACGUCACAGAGGGUGAGAAUCCCGUACGUGGUCGCUAGCCUUUACCGUGUAAAGCCCCUUCGACGAGUCGAGUUGUUUGGGAAUGCAGCUCUAAAUGGGAGGUAAAUUUCUUCUAAAGCUAAAUACUGGCCAGAGACCGAUAGCGCACAAGUAGAGUGAUCGAAAGAUGAAAAGCACUUUGGAAAGAGAGUUAAAAAGCACGUGAAAUUGUUGAAAGGGAAGCGCUUGCAGCCAGACUUGCCUGUAGUUGCUCAUCCGGGUUUUUACCCGGUGCACUCUUCUAUAGGCAGGCCAGCAUCAGUUUGGGCGGUUGGAUAAAGGUCUCUGUCAUGUACCUCUCUUCGGGGAGAACUUACAGGGGAGACGACAUGCAACCAGCCCGGACUGAGGUCCGCGCAUCUGCUAGGAUGCUGGCGUAAUGGCUGU
Molecule: ribosomal RNA, 603 nt
Filed under: uncultured fungus
Lineage: Eukaryota; Fungi
Description: eukaryotic LSU rRNA
Rfam family: Eukaryotic large subunit ribosomal RNA
Source: RNAcentral